UUGCUGGACGGAACGGAGUAGGCGAACGGGUAGGAGGUAAUACGUAAGCAACCUGCCUGCAAGGACUGGGAUAACACCUGGAAACGGGCGCUAAUACCGGAUAGGUAACAAAGGGGCAUCCCUAUGUUAUUAAAGGUUAGAAACACAAAGCAGAUGGGCUUACGGUGCAUUAGCUAGUUGGUGAGGUAACGGCCCACCAAGGCGAUGAUGCAUAGCCGGCCUGAGAGGGUGAACGGCCACAUUGGGACUGAGACACGGCCCAGACUCCUACGGGAGGCAGCAGUAGGGAAUUUUCGGCAAUGGACGAAAGUCUGACCGAGCAACGCCGCCGCGAGUGAAGAAGGUUUUCGGAUUGUAAAGCUCUGUUGUAAGGGAAGAACAGCACGGAAAGAAUCCGUGAAUGACGGUACCUUACCAGAAAGCCACGGCUAACUACGUGCCAGCAGCCGC
This 450-nucleotide ribosomal RNA is filed under the name uncultured bacterium. Its description in RNAcentral is "bacterial SSU rRNA". It matches the Rfam family "Bacterial small subunit ribosomal RNA", at positions 77 to 518 of the family's 1533-position model. The record is from RNAcentral.